Molecule: ribosomal RNA, 234 nt
Filed under: uncultured bacterium
Lineage: Bacteria
Description: partial 16S ribosomal RNA
Rfam family: Bacterial small subunit ribosomal RNA
Source: RNAcentral
CGGAACGUGUCCUGUUGUGGGGGACGAACUGAUCGAAAGAUCAGCUAAUACCGCAUGAGACCUGAGGGUGAAAGCGGGGGAUCGCAAGACCUCGCGCGACAGGAGCGGCCGAUGUCUGAUUAGCUAGUUGGUGAGAUAAAAGCUUACCAAGGCGACGAUCAGUAGCUGGUCUGAGAGGAUGAUCAGCCACAUUGGGACUGAGACACGGCCCAGACUCCUACGGGAGGCAGCAUG